UCCCACGAGCGGCCGCGAAGAUCAG
RNAcentral lists this non-coding RNA (25 nucleotides) under Sclerotinia trifoliorum. Lineage: Eukaryota; Fungi; Ascomycota; Leotiomycetes; Helotiales; Sclerotiniaceae. The record is from RNAcentral.